UCCGGGACCCCAGCACGGCUGCGGGGUGUGCCCAGGGAGAGGGAUGCCUCCACUCCAGGGCUGCAGUUUGCCCGAAAGGGAGAGAGAGGUUAUUGGAACUGCACCUGCCUUCCGUGGGAUGGGUGUCAGGCAGACUGUGACAGGGGCAUGGUCAGCCCGUGUACAUAAAUCCAUCCACAUCUAGCCUAGGAACUCAUCCCAGGCUAGAGAAAGAGCUGGCCGGCACCAUUGUGGACCCCAGUGCAUUAUUUACAAAAGUCUUGGGGUUCUGAAGAUGUCCUGGCUGACAGGAAGCUGGCUAAGGUUAUCCUGGUUUUCAAUACAGCCUAUCACUCACUUUUACCCUGAUGACAAUGUUGAGAAAGAACCACUAGGUUUUGCAACACAAGUUGCACAAACAUCCCAGUGCAGGUGCAAUCUUAUGGGAGAGAGGAAACCUGGACAAGGAGUUCUGUGAGAAAAAGCAGAUAUGACAGGCACAGAUUAGGAGGAAGAUGGAGAAGCAGUUAGAGAAGAGCAAUCAGGAAGGGAGGAAAUCUUUUUCCUGGAAGAAAAAUAUAGAGCGUGACAAUUCACAGGAGUAAUAAAAGAUAAGAAAAACAGAAAACAGUGAAAGGAGGAAAUAAGCAAUCCUGACAUAUCCUGAAAAUAAGAAAUAACAAAUUGGCAGAGAGCAAACAAAAUUCAAAGAAAUAAGGAUUCAAUACAACUCUGUUUAGAAGAUCCAAAAAGACCUUUACACUGUUAAUGCUGCUCUUGGCCCCAGAGUUUCUGACUCCUGCUAGUACCAAAAGGAGUGGGAGGAAGAGCAUUUGACUGGCCCUUGGUCUGGAAGCUAGCCAGCAGCACUGCAGAACUUCUGCUUUUUUUCUUUUUUAAUUGUUUUUGCUAGUGAUUACAAAUAUUUCUCAUUACGUGCUUUCUAGGAGGAAGCUUGGUGUAAAUAACCCAUUUUUUUCUCUGUAAAUCCCUCCUCUUACACUGCUCAUGUUUUGGGUUUCCUUCCACUGAAUAUUCUCAAAAUAGUCUCACUAAUUCUGUCUACCUCCUGAGGUACAAAUUAUUCCAUGUCAAUAGACUGGACUUUAGUUGGGAAUUUGGUACAUAGCAAGCAUGUAAAAAUAUUAGUGUACUGUUUAAAUCACAACCUCGUACAUCCACUUACCCUUGUCAUAUCAAGACUAGAUUCUUCACUGACUUCUGUUGGGUGAUUUUGUCAUUUGGUUUAUGACAGAAGUCUUCAAGUGGCCAAUCGGUUUCUUUAACUAUUUCUUUUUUUUACCAGAGGUAGAAUAUGUCCUUAACCAGUUAACUUUCAGUCAAAUUUUUCUUUUUUCCUGAGGAUUUCUAAUAAGUUUGUGAACCUCCAAAGUUCUACUAAAAACUUUAUGUGAUUUUUCUUCUUUUCAGUACUCUGUGACCUACCCUUUUGAGGCCCAAUGUGUAGCCAGAGUAAUGAGUUUCUUUUCAAACACAUCUUGCCUUGAAACUUCAGGAUAAUUUUAGUUUUUUCCUAUUUCUCAUUUGCAACAACAAUGGAGCUCAGCAGGUCUGUGGGAAACUGAAAUAAACUGGGACAGAGGCCGAGAUGGAAAUAUUUCAGCUGAAAAUCUGCUCUCAAAAAUGAGGGAUCGGUUGCAACCAAGUGGGAGAGAGAACCCUUUGUUAGUUUGGUAUGAUACCUGAUAUUAUAAAAAUCACAGAGAAGCAGAUGUUCCUUAUCCAAGAGACUAGGUGUUGGGUUUUCUUGUUUCCAAAAUAACCUUCCAAGACAGCACAAGGCGUGGGGAAAUAACAAUUUCUUCUGUUUCUGGUAGAAGUUCUUCUGGCUAUACCUGCUCCAGUAAAUGAACUUGGCCUGAGACUGUGUUUGGGUCUAAGUGGACUGGGAUGGCCUGUGUCAGUGCUGAACAACUGCAAGAGUUUUCCAGGAGACCUGCCUGGAGGGAAUAGCCACCACAGUCAUUUAACUCUCAAAACACUAAAAAGUCCCCAGGAAUUGUUUGGGUACAGCACUGUUUGUGAAAGGAUGAACUCAUGGCAGGCAAAGCUCUCUUCACCAGCCCAGAUGUUCUCGGCCUGGUGCUCGGAAAUGUUUCCAGGCAUGCUUGGAUUUGGUCAUGCAGACACAGCCUGAAGGUGUAAUAGUGUUUCAGGGGGCCCAUGUGUUAGAGAUGUGUUUUAUGACUUUUAUGUAAUGUAGAUCUUCUCUUACUGGUGUCUUGAAAUCUCCAUGGGAACAAAUAAAGAUAUAAAGGUGUUAUUCUGUCUCUGUGUAACACAAAGAGAAGGAACAAACAAACGUGGAGUGUUUGGGCUUUUUAAUAAAUCCCUAGUUUGCAUGAAGCAUGUUCUGACUAAGGCACGCAAUGGGCAAAUUAGAAACCUGCAAAUUAAAAUAUAUGUGAUUGAUAGUGGUCAUUAAACAGAUCUUUUCAAUCAAUCAAGUACUAAGAGUGUUCCUACUUACCUUCAAAGCAGUUGUGAAAUUUAUCAUCCUAAUACAUGCAAAAGUUUCCUUUUGUGGAUCCAGCAAAUACUGCUAAGCCACCCACGCCACACACAUGCUCCCAGGCUCUAUAAAUUUUGAGAUGGUGCAAGUUCAGAUCCAUUCCAAUUGCCAGAAAAAAACACUAAAAAAGGAUCAGCAAAUGCAAACCAGAACAGAAACCUAAAUAAAAUACUCCAGAAGGUUCCCUUAUCCCAUUGUAUUCCAGUAAAUUAUGUGUACUUUCCUGUGUGUUUUGGCACCAGAAAAAAAUACAAAUCUGUCUCUUAAUUAUGCAAACACAAGGAAUAUGUGAGUCCUUGAAAACAAAUCUCUUGAGCUGUGCUAUGAAACUUUCUAAAAGAUUCAUGUCACCCUGACACCCUGUCACUUCUAAGCAAGAACAUAAUAUUUCAUCACAGGAAAACUGGUUUGUUGAAUUGGGCUUUACAAGUUAUAACACAAGCAAAGUGCUGUACAGCAUCUUUCAGGAUUGACCUUGAUUUUUUUUUAGAAGUAGAAGCACUUCAGAGAAAUGCUUUGGCAAAGCCUCCUUGGUGCAAUCUGGAAAUUUUCUGGUAUGUAUAAAGACAUACCUAGACACGGUUUGUGCCUGAGUGUGGGACCUAUGGGAAAUGGCUCAAGA
Passer domesticus (house sparrow) is the source of this 3134-nucleotide long non-coding RNA. RefSeq lists it as uncharacterized. The transcript is spliced from 3 exons. The record is from RefSeq and is a predicted model, not a curated record. NCBI's taxonomy places the organism in Eukaryota, Metazoa, Chordata, Aves, Passeriformes, Passeridae.